UUGAGUAUGCGUAUGGUGUCCAUUGUCAUGUAAUCGUAUCGGGUUAAGAAGUUAUUUGCGUGUUCGAAGUUUGGUUGCGCGUUGCGCGAUUACUUGCUAGUUGCAAGCAGUUAUUUUUAUCGGUGUACUGCUACAAAUUAUUCGAUUGUUGUAAAAGACGUCUCCAGGGCUAUUACGAGUCAUAACAUAUCAAAAUUGAUGAAAAUACGUCCUAAAAUAAUCUCCCUUCGUUGUCUCAUACCAUUAUUAUAUAUACUGUCUGAUGUUUUGGAGCAUUAGUAACAUCCAGUACUGGUUUGUUGGCAUGUGUACAUAGUGACAAUAUUGACGACAUUUUGUAUACUCUGGACGUGGGCGUUUCUGUCAUAUGGAUGACGUCAUGGGUCAAAGCAGAUGGAUUAAAUCGGAUGCUUCCCUAAUGCCGAGUUCCGAAGGACACUAAUGACAGCAGCAGAGAAGCUUGCCGCUGUUCCUGAUGUGGAUAUCGACCCAGAA
Schistocerca piceifrons (Central American locust) is the source of this 495-nucleotide long non-coding RNA. RefSeq lists it as uncharacterized. The record is from RefSeq and is a predicted model, not a curated record. The transcript has 3 exons. Lineage: Eukaryota; Metazoa; Arthropoda; Insecta; Orthoptera; Acrididae.